RNAcentral lists this unclassified non-coding RNA (281 nucleotides) under uncultured fungus. Its description in RNAcentral is "partial contains small subunit ribosomal RNA, internal transcribed spacer 1, and 5.8S ribosomal RNA". The stretch from base 1 to 73 matches the Rfam family "Eukaryotic small subunit ribosomal RNA", at positions 1759 to 1831 of the family's 1831-position model. Lineage: Eukaryota; Fungi. The record is from RNAcentral.
GCAAACUUGGUCAUUUAGAGGAAGUAAAAGUCGUAACAAGGUCUCCGUUGGUGAACCAGCGGAGGGAUCAUUACCGAGUUUACAACUCCCAAACCCAUGUGAAUCUUACCUUUACGUUGCUUCGGCCGGACUGCCCCGGGCGCCUUUGGUGCCCCGGAUUCAGGCGCCGGCCGGGGAAGCCAAACUCUUGUUUUAUUAGUAUCUUCUCUGAGUGGAUUACACAAAUAAUCAAAACUUUCAACAACGGAUCUCUUGGUUCUGGCAUCGAUGAAGAACGCAGC